Molecule: RNA transcript, 2831 nt
Organism: Arachis stenosperma
Lineage: Eukaryota; Viridiplantae; Streptophyta; Magnoliopsida; Fabales; Fabaceae
Exons: 14
Source: RefSeq, a predicted model, not a curated record
CACAGUAACGCCGAAUAAAAUCAGAAUCAGAAUGAUGCGUUUAAAUUCGAAGACGGGAAUUGGACAGUAUGACAUGCGACGGCUGGGUUCGUAACGUUUACUUCCUCCGUCGCGUUAGUUAGGGCUUUCAGAGCUUCAGUUUCUUUCAAUUCUUCCCAAACUCACCUUGGUUCACAUUCCUCAUUCCAAUUAACGCGAUUUCGACACAGGUAUUUGACCCCGAUCAACACAAAAUCCCAGUUUCGCUUCGGCAACUCGCGUGAUCAACGAACGAUAACAUCGUUCCUUCUCGUGAAGAAGUUGGCGAUGGCGAGAAAGACUAGUUGCUGUGCGAUUUGCGAGAAUUCGAAUCUAGCUUCGAUUUGCUCUAAUUGUGUCAAUUACAGGUUGAAUGAUUAUAGUGCGUCGUUGAAUUCACUUAAAGACCGUUGGGAUUCGUUGUACUCGAAAUUGAGCGAAGUUCUUGUCCGCAAGGGAAAAGCGGAUGAUCAGACAAAUUGGAGAGAGCUUCAACAUGAGAAGCUUGCACGGUUGAGGGAGAAGCUCAGUCACAGUAAAGAACAAGUUGCUCAAGGAAGAGCAAAGAUAGAGACUAUGUCCACUGGUCUCAAACAUAAAUAUGGAGUGCUUGAGUCUGCAUUUUCUACGUUGGAAAAGAAUCGGGUGGAACAACUGGAGAAGUUCUACCCUAAUCUUAUAUGCACCCAGAGCUUAGGGCAUGUGGCAAUUACCUCCGAACGUCUUCAUAAACAGACUGUGGUCAUUAAACAGAUAUGCAAGUUGUUUCCUCAACGACGGGUAGUGAUAGAGGGAGAGAGAAGGGAUGGCUCUAGUGGUCAAUAUGAUCAAAUUUGCACUGCACGCCUACCAAGAGCACUUGAUCCACACUCUGUUCCAUCAGAAGAGCUUUCAGCUUCUUUGGGAUACAUUGUGCAACUUUUAGAUCUUGUUGUUCACAAUUUGGCUGCCCCAGCACUUCACAACUCAGGUUUUGCGGGUUCUUGCUCUCGAAUAUGGCAACGAGAGUCUUAUUGGGAUGCACGUCCAUCUUCGAGGAGUAAUGAAUAUCCCCUUUUUAUACCUCGCCAAACAUAUUGCUCAGCUAGUGGAGAAACCUCAUGGACUGAUAGAAGCUCAUGCAAUUUUGGUGUUGCCUCGAUAGAAUCUGAGAGGAGGCCUUACCUGGAUUCAUUUGGGAGUAGUAGCUUUAAUUAUUCUUUAGCAGCUUCACAUACUGUUCAGACACACAAAGAUUUGCAGAAAGGGAUUUCACUUCUGAAGAAAAGUGUAGCAUGCAUCACAGCUUACUGUUACAACUCUUUAAGUCUGGAUGUUCCUUCUGAGGCAUCUACUUUUGAAGCACUUGCCAAAUUAUUGGCUACACUUUCAUCAACAAAGGAAGUUCGAUCUGUUUUUUCCUUAAAAAUGGCUCGCUCUAGGACAUGUAAGCAGGUUCAGCAGUUGAACAAAUCUGUGUGGAAUAUGAAUUCUGCUAUUUCGUCAACUACUUUGCUGGACAGUACACAUUCUGUGCCCCCGAUGAGAAUUGAAAAUUAUAUGCCAAGUUCUGGUGCCAGUUUUCUUUAUGCCACCGAUUUAUCUGAUGAUAAAAGUGAAAUUGAAGGAUGGGAUAUAAUAGAGCAUCCCAAAUUUCCUCCGCCACCAUCACAAAGUGAAGAUGUUGAGCACUGGACUCGAGCAAUGUUCAUAGAUGUUAAAAGAAAGUGAUCUCUGCAGCAUAUUUUUGCUUAAUGUUCAAGAUUUGGUGGCUUGGUAUAUACGAAAAGAUUGAUCUUGUCUGAGUUUUAGCUGCCCAUGCGCCUCGGCCAUUAGUUUAAAAUUUUGAACUCAGGACUGAAGCCAGCUUAGUGUUUUACAAGUAUGUAUUAUCAAUCUCAAGCUAUGAUGCACGGAGACUGAUACGGACACGGGACACGUUGACACGCGAAUUUUAAAAUCUUACAUGACACGGGGACACGCAUACAUAUAAAAUAUAAAGUAUUACACGCAUACAUAUAAAAUAUAAAGUAUUUUUAGAUAAAUCGUAAUGAUAUUUUGAUAUUUUAUUGAUAUUAAAAUAUAAUUAAAAUUUUUAAUUAUUUUUAAUGUCUUAUUUUAAUUAUAUCAAAUAUUUAAAAUAUUUUUUUAUUUUAAUAAAUAAUAAUAUAUAUUAUAUCUAAAUUUAUUUUAAAAAUAUAUGUUAAGAAUAAGACUGGACACGCUGACACUUGAUGGUAUUUAAAUGUGUACACGGUUGGACACAACAGACACGCGUGUGGGACGAGUGUCGGACACAGAAUGUCGUGUCUGAAAUGUGUCCGACACGCAGACAAGAUGAAGAGCGCUAAAGACUUAGCUGACAAAAUAUUCUGGAGGAUCAAUUUGUAAUGUAUUUGUAACAUUUUAGUUCCUUGCCUUCCUCCCCCGUAUUAUAUAGAAGUGAGAAAUGUGCUAUAGGCUGGAUUUAUUUACUAGUUUUAAAUGCUUCAAAGUAUAAAAAUAUUAAAUGUAUUAAAGCAACAAAAUUAAAAUUGUUACAAAGUUGUUCGUUUGAUUUUAAUAAAUGCCCUUUUUACUUCUUACCUAACCAAACAAUUUUGUCAUGGUUACUCUCACAAUACAACGCUUAACAACCUGCCCAGCACUUGUUUAAUAAACUGCGAAAGACCCCCAAAUGGGUGAGUAGAGCACUGAAGAGAAUCUAACCAGCUAACUCUAAAAUCACAUUAGAGUGCUGUGUCCCCCAAGCUGUAUUAAGACUCUGCGAAGCACCGCAAAGAAUAAAGAUUGUUGAUGACAACCGGACAAAGACACGCUAAAAGAAUGCAAAU